AAUAACUUUACGGAUCACAUUAUGUGACAUAUCAUUCAAGUUUCUGACCUAUCAGCUUUAGACGGUAGGGUAUUGGCCUACCGUGGCUAUGACGGGUAACGGGGAAUUAGGGUUCGAUUCCGGAGAGGGAGYCUGAGAAACGGCUACCACAUCUAAGGAAGGCAGCAGGCGCGCAAAUUACCCAAUCCUAAUACAGGGAGGUAGUGACAAGAAAUAACAAUACAGAACCUUACGGUUUUGUAAUUGGAAUGAGUUAAGUAUAAACCCCUUAACAAGUAUCAAUUGGAGGGCAAGUCUGGUGCCAGCAGCCGCGGUAAUUCCAGCUCCAAUAGCGUAUAUUAAAGUUGUUGCAGUUAAAAAGCUCGUAGUUAAUCUUCUGUUAAUUUUUAUAUAUAAUAUCACGAUAUUUAUAUAAUAUUAACAUAAUUAUUCUAGAAUAAAAAUGAUGAUUAAUAGGGACAGUUGGGGGCAUUUGUAUUUAACAGUCAGAGGUGAAAUUCUUAGAUUUGUUAAAGACAAACUACUGCGAAAGCAUUUGCCAAGGAUGUUUUCAUUAAUCAAGAACGAAAGUUAGGGGAUCGAAGACGAUCAGAUACCGUCGUAGUCUUA
Molecule: ribosomal RNA, 609 nt
Filed under: Cryptosporidium bovis
Lineage: Eukaryota; Apicomplexa; Conoidasida; Eucoccidiorida; Cryptosporidiidae
Description: SSU rRNA
Rfam family: Eukaryotic small subunit ribosomal RNA
Source: RNAcentral